This 510-nucleotide ribosomal RNA is filed under the name uncultured Alteromonas sp. RNAcentral describes it as "bacterial SSU rRNA". It matches the Rfam family "Bacterial small subunit ribosomal RNA", at positions 118 to 628 of the family's 1533-position model. Lineage: Bacteria; Pseudomonadati; Pseudomonadota; Gammaproteobacteria; Alteromonadales; Alteromonadaceae. The record is from RNAcentral.
UGGGAACUUGCCUUUGCGAGGGGGAUAACAGUUGGAAACGACUGCUAAUACCGCAUAAUGUCUUCGGACCAAACGGGGCUUCGGCUCCGGCGCAAAGAGAGGCCCAAGUGAGAUUAGCUAGUUGGUAAGGUAAAGGCUUACCAAGGCGACGAUCUCUAGCUGUUCUGAGAGGAAGAUCAGCCACACUGGGACUGAGACACGGCCCAGACUCCUACGGGAGGCAGCAGUGGGGAAUAUUGCACAAUGGGGGAAACCCUGAUGCAGCCAUGCCGCGUGUGUGAAGAAGGCCUUCGGGUUGUAAAGCACUUUCAGUUGUGAGGAAAAGUUAGUAGUUAAUACCUGCUAGCCGUGACGUUAACAACAGAAGAAGCACCGGCUAACUCCGUGCCAGCAGCCGCGGUAAUACGGAGGGUGCGAGCGUUAAUCGGAAUUACUGGGGCGUAAAGCGCACGCAGGCGGUUUGUUAAGCUAGAUGUGAAAGCCCCGGGCUCAACCUGGGGAUGGUCAUUU